CAAAAAAAACUGUCUUGAAAGAUAUUGUGAACUGUAAAUCAGCGUUAGAAACCUGACUGAACUCACAAACCGGAGUUGUUUGAGGGAGGAUCUCGGACCAGUAUCAUCAAACAUUGCAGCAGGAGAAUACAGACAAGAGAAGGAAGUCACAUAGUUUUUUUAUCAGUAUUUCAGAAAGCCAAAAAGGUUUUGAGACACGUUGUAUAUGAACAGAUUUGGCAAAGCAGCAACGGAGAAAUAGUGCGGUAACUUUGGAGGAGUCUUCUAAGAUUGAAGUCCUAACACAAGCAGCAAAGAAUGAGAUAACAAAGGACAAUUUUGGAAUUUUACAAUGUGAUGAAUGCUUGUACCUGUUCAGUUAAAAGUAUCACGGUGAGUGUCCCACCGUCCUGUCAGCUCUUAUGGUACCCCUACACUGCAUAACAAAAACAUGAUUAUAUCGCAAAGACAUAUGCAGCGGGGGCAGCACAGUGCUCCAUGAAGGAUGCAAAACUUUCAUUUCUAACUGUAGAAGUCUGUACUGCACUGAAAGCCUUAUUUGCCUGAGCUACUUAACUUAUGUGUUAUCUCUACACUACACACUGCAGCCUUUGACAAUACUUCAACUCUUGUUUUAGGUAUAGCACCCAGCACAAAAACUCCCUGGGGACCUACCCUGGUUUCUGGCCCUUACUUAAGCUAGACUUGCUUGUGUCUUCAUUGCUACUGCUGUCGUUCUGGAGAUAUGUAAAUCAGAACAAACUCUUUCUUAUUUCAAAACUCACACCUUAAUUUUUCUGUAUAGGCAUGUCAUUGGCAAUAAGCAAUAAUAUGUUUGUCAGACAAUAAUAAAUGACUGAUUUCAACCUUGAUCUUGAUAUACUGCUACUGCUGGAAGACAAGACAAAACAUUUGAUCAAUUAGUUUGACCAUCAUCUUGUCAAGGAUGGAUGUUACAGAGAAGCAGUUUUCUACUAAAGAGGUUGCCUAAAAAGAAAAACCACCCUUGUUUCUAGAGUAUUACCUCCAGAAGUUGACUAGUGAUGUAUGAAAUAAAAAAGCUGCACCAUCCUUAAUCAAGGCCUCUUCAUAAUAUGAAGACAUAUAUAAUUGCAUUACUUCAUGCUACUUAUUUUAUACUAUAGCAUUACUUUCAAAUAUAUUUUCUAGGUAACAGUUGCCAGAGAAGCUACUAAUUUUCAUUUAAGCCAAACUUCCA
This is a long non-coding RNA of Grus americana (Whooping crane), 1198 nucleotides long. RefSeq lists it as uncharacterized. The transcript is spliced from 3 exons. The record is from RefSeq and is a predicted model, not a curated record. Lineage: Eukaryota; Metazoa; Chordata; Aves; Gruiformes; Gruidae.